This 1866-nucleotide long non-coding RNA is filed under the name Equus caballus (horse). Its description in RNAcentral is "lncRNA (ENSECAG00000054564.1)". Lineage: Eukaryota; Metazoa; Chordata; Mammalia; Perissodactyla; Equidae. The record is from RNAcentral.
CACAGGAAGGUGGGGAGACGAGAAGGCUGGGGGCACAGACAGGCAGGAUUUGGCAGGAGGGACACACUCAGAGCGCAGGCCAAAGUCACCCUGGGGCUGCCCUCCAGCCGCUGUGCGUGCUCCCUCAGGGGGUCUCAGCAAGUCUCUCAGGUGGACACAACCUCUUUCCACACAACGACGUCACGACUUUCAGCCAAUUAUGGCCUAACGUCUCAUUCUCAGGAGUCAGAUGGACUUGUUUUCUUUGUGAAUGGAAGAAAGAGGAUGGCGGAAGGUCCCAAAGAGAAAUUUCUGACUUUCCAUGCGGAGAGGACUACCUGGAUCACCCUAGAAACCCUAAAAGACCUUCUUGGGCUGAAAAUGAAGGACCUUGAAGCUCCUCUUGUGAUGGGGGAACACUUCUCUUGGUGACAGCGAAGAGGCCACAGUUCCUGCCUCCUGCACAGAACAUCAAAACUAGUGAAAGAAGAUGUAAGUUAACUGGAAAGCAAAGUCCCUGCAGGACCAGCCUGGGGAAGUGGCCCCGAGGGGUGAAACGGAAGACAAAACAGAACCGCUUUUGGUUUACAAACUACCCAAGAAAAACCAGCCUCUUUUUCACUUGUCUUUUGACCAAAAAGUGUAUUAGCCAAACUGAGGCCCUGCCUAAUCCAGCAAGCCGGCUUCUGAAUGUCUUUCGCCUCUUACCACAAAUCCAACCCACUUCAAAGAAUGAAGAUUUAUCACCACAGAGGCCACAGGCUCUGAAAGGACAUCCCUCAAAGAGUUCCCACAAUGUCCGGAGGAGGACGGCGCGACUGAGACAAAUGUGCAAGCUCUCCCAAGUAGACGGCCCCAAGGACUCACAUUUAUUUGCUGGUCUAGGUUUCAAGAUUUUCAUGGAAAAUAAUCACAUGACUUCAUGGCUGUCUUUCCUUUAUUGAUGUCACUGCUGUCAUUUGUACAUUUGCUGAUGUCACUGUUCUCAUAACAUACCGUGUUUACUGCCAUCCCUCUUGAGACAUCUCAACUCUUCAAACUCAUCCACAAGCUCCCUCUCCCACAACACACCCAUCUGUCUGUCAUUGUCACAUCUGCACACUGAUCCAGACCGUUCUGCCCUAUAAAUGACACACUGUAACCUUGGUAGAGUGACUCCCAUAAGCUGCAGGAGUUCUGCUCUGUGAACACAGGCAGAAGAAUGGUUUUCCAAGACAGGGUCCCAAGACACAUCUGGAAACAACCACAUCAUGAGAGAGUCAUGAUAUUGUGUGUGACUGGUUUUCAAUUUCAUUUUAACUUUAGAAUGCAUUUUUAUAAUAAGACUAAGACUGGAUUUAACAAAAUAUAAAGUAGUUUCAGUAAUAUAUGGUACCUUUAAAUUAAAUGCUCCCCCCCAACAGAAGAAACAUAGCAAAUUUCUUUAAAAGAUCGUUUUCUUGUUGGAGCAACAAAUGCCAGCCUUAACCUAGAAGAAGCCCUAGUUUCUGUUUUCAUUCCUGUCUCCAGAAAGGUACAAGAUUAUGAAGUUUGUGAUGUCCACGUCCAUCUGUUUGAUUUUAGUUGCUUGACUUACACCUUGAAUUAAAUUCAACAUAAUAAAAAUAGAAAUUGCGGCAAAUAUUUUAUACUUUAUAUCUUGCCUAGAUGAAAAGAAAUAGUGGAUUAAAUGUUGAUCUGCUUUUUUAGAGAAUUUCAGAACAAUGCGUUAUUUUCUCAUUGUUCUUCAAAAGCUCUAAAAACCUGGGAUCCUUGGACUCACAAAUCAUAUCGUUGAAAGAGGCGAAUGUUUUUUGUAUAGGUAAGGAGAUUGAGGUCCAAAGAAAUGUAGUUAUUUCAACAAGGGUUCACAGUGACUGGGGGCAGAACCAGGACCAAAACUCUCCU